RNAcentral lists this non-coding RNA (24 nucleotides) under Arabidopsis thaliana (thale cress). The record is from RNAcentral. Lineage: Eukaryota; Viridiplantae; Streptophyta; Magnoliopsida; Brassicales; Brassicaceae.
AACAGGUUUUGGUGUGUUCUAGCA